GACGAACGCUGGCGGCGUGCCUAAUACAUGCAAGUCGAGCGAAGUUUUUCUGGUGCUUGCACUAGAAACACUUAGCGGCGAACGGGUGAGUAACACGUAAAGAACCUGCCUCAUAGACUGGGACAACUAUUGGAAACGAUAGCUAAUACCGGAUAACAGCAUUAACUGCAUGGUUGAUGUUUAAAAGUUGGUUUUGCUAACACUAUGAGAUGGCUUUGCGGUGCAUUAGCUAGUUGGUGGGGUAAAGGCCUACCAAGGCGACGAUGCAUAGCCGACCUGAGAGGGUGAUCAGCCACACUGGGACUGAGACACGGCCCAGACUCCUACGGGAGGCAGCAGUAGGGAAUCUUCCGCAAUGGGCGAAAGCCUGACGGAGCAACGCCGCGUGAGUGAAGAAGGAUUUCGGUUCGUAAAGCUCUGUUGUUAGGGAAGAAUGAUUGUGUAGUAACUAUACACAGUAGAGACGGUACCUAACCAGAAAGCCACGGCUAACUACGUG
Molecule: ribosomal RNA, 499 nt
Filed under: uncultured bacterium
Lineage: Bacteria
Description: partial 16S ribosomal RNA
Rfam family: Bacterial small subunit ribosomal RNA
Source: RNAcentral